This 468-nucleotide ribosomal RNA is filed under the name uncultured bacterium. Its description in RNAcentral is "partial 16S ribosomal RNA". It matches the Rfam family "Bacterial small subunit ribosomal RNA", at positions 28 to 507 of the family's 1533-position model. The record is from RNAcentral.
GACGAACGCUGGCGGCGUGCUUAACACAUGCAAGUCGAACGGAAAGGCCCUGCUUUUGUGGGGUGCUCGAGUGGCGAACGGGUGAGUAACACGUGAGUAACCUGCCCUUGACUUUGGGAUAACUUCAGGAAACUGGGGCUAAUACCGGAUAGGAGCUCCUGCUGCAUGGUGGGGGUUGGAAAGUUUCGGCUGUUGGGGAUGGACUCGCGGCUUAUCAGCUUGUUGGUGGGGUAGUGGCUUACCAAGGCUUUGACGGGUAGCCGGCCUGAGAGGGUGACCGGCAACAUUGGGACUGAGAUACGGACCAGACUCCUACGGGAGGCAGUAGUGGGGAAUAUUGCACAAUGGGCGGAAGCCUGAUGCAGCAACGCCGCGUGCGGGAUGACGGCCUUCGGGUUGUAAACCGCUUUCGCCUGUGACGAAGCGUGAGUGACGGUAAUGGGUAAAGAAGCACCGGCUAACUACGUG